UCCUUGGACAAUGGCUGCCCGUUUAGGGUUGUGACCCAGGAGUCGCUGUGGUUAUCAACUGCGAGAGCUCAAACGGACACAUGAGAAGCAGCUUUGUUUAGCGUCCUUGACAUAACUAACCACAUAUUAACAACAGAGCCUUGUGGUAUAGAGGCUCCUGUUUGUUCAGAAUCUUAAUAGGUGGGCUUUGUGCACAUGGAUUUCUAAUACUGCUUACCCUGUAUUUUAAGUCAAAGAGGGUCUUUGUGUGAAGGAUUCUCCACCUCCUUUUCCCUUUCUACGAAGGAGGCACAAAGCUGAUCAUUCAGUGGAGUCCAUUCUCACCAUGAGAAGAACAUUCUACUGUCAGCAGGCAGAGUGAGGAUGGAGACAUCACUGAUUCACUUGGCUAGUUCCAUGUGGGCAUUCCAUGUCCAUGGAUGAAUGGAUAAGUAACUGAUCCACAAGAGGAGGGCUCACGGGCAGAAGAGAUUUGCCUUGCCUCAGAUGACACUUUGGACUGUGGACUUUUGAGUUAAUGCUGAUAUGAGUUAAGACUUUGGGGGACUUAGGAAGUCCCAUGUUGGGAAGGCAUGAUUGGUUUUGAUAUGAGAGGACAUAAUAUUUGGGAGGGACCAGGGGUGGAAUGAUAUGAUUUGGCUGUGUUCCUACACAAAUCUCAUCUUGAAUUGUAGAUCCCAUAAUCCCCAUGUGUCGUGGGAGGGACCCUGGUGGGAGGUAAUUGACUUAUGGGGGUGUUUUUCCUGUGCUGUUCUUAUGAUAGUGAAUAAGGCUCACAUGAUCUGAUGGUUUUAUAAAUUACACUUUCCCUGAACAUAAUCUCUUGCCUGCUGCCAUGUAAGCUGUGCUUUUGCUCCUCCUUUGCCUUCCACCAUGACUGUGAGGCCUUCCUAAGCCAUGUGGAACUUUGAAUCCAUUAAACCUCUUUAUCUUUAUAAAUUA
Molecule: long non-coding RNA, 942 nt
Filed under: Homo sapiens (human)
Lineage: Eukaryota; Metazoa; Chordata; Mammalia; Primates; Hominidae
Description: HSALNT0298173
Source: RNAcentral